RNAcentral lists this unclassified non-coding RNA (337 nucleotides) under soil metagenome. RNAcentral describes it as "partial contains 5.8S ribosomal RNA, internal transcribed spacer 2, and large subunit ribosomal RNA". The stretch from base 1 to 120 matches the Rfam family "5.8S ribosomal RNA", at positions 35 to 154 of the family's 154-position model. The record is from RNAcentral.
GAUGAAGAACGUAGCGAAAUGCGAUAAGUAGUGUGAAUUGCAGAAUUCAGUGAAUCAUCGAGUCUUUGAACGCACAUUGCGCCCCUUGGUAUUCCAUGGGGCAUGCCUGUUCGAGCGUCAUUUGUACCUUCAAGCCUUGCUUGGUGUUGGGUGUUUGUCUCGCCUCUGCGCGCAGACUCGCCUCAAAACAAUUGGCAGCCGGCGUAUUGAUUUCGGAGCGCAGUACAUCUCGCGCUUUGCACUCAGAACGACGACGUCCAAAAGUACAUUUUUACACUCUUGACCUCGGAUCAGGUAGGGAUACCCGCUGAACUUAAGCAUAUCAAUAAGCGGAGGA